RNAcentral lists this transfer RNA (67 nucleotides) under Monodonta labio. Its description in RNAcentral is "tRNA-Arg". The record is from RNAcentral. Lineage: Eukaryota; Metazoa; Mollusca; Gastropoda; Trochida; Trochidae.
GACAGGAAGUGAGAAAUUCACACAUGGUUUCGGCCCAUUAAUUGGUGGUGAAAGUCCCCCCCUGUUA